Molecule: long non-coding RNA, 818 nt
Organism: Zea mays
Lineage: Eukaryota; Viridiplantae; Streptophyta; Magnoliopsida; Poales; Poaceae
Exons: 2
Source: RefSeq, a predicted model, not a curated record
AGUUUGAGAUAAUUCAGAUUCUUGUCAAGGAGUGCAAUAAGAUCGAAGGUCACGUCCAGCAGAGGGUUAAGUUUUAGAAGCAACUACCCUGCACUGGUUAAUAAUAUCUGUGAGGACCCAAGUUGGUCCCAGUCCUCUUCGAUUGGUGCUCUGUCCCUGUGAUUUGAGGAAAGUUUCAGUACAACACAUUGUAUUUUGAUUAGUGAAUGAAGCAUUUAGACGAUAUUGUUGCAGGUGUGCAUUCUCUUUCUUACAUUUGAUUUAAGCUUUCUUAUUUGAGCUUUAUGAUACUAUGUACUCAAUACUUGUGCUCUUCUAAGAUAGGUUGAGCAGAUAGUGGUUGAAAGGUCUGAAGGUUGGCAUUGUGGAUAUUUUUGCUAUCUUGCAUGGAUUCCCAGACAAUGUGAGGACGAACCAGAAGGGCGAGUUCUGGGUGGUGAUCCACUGUCGGAGAAGUAUGUAUCCUCGGCUAAUGAGCUGCCAUGUCAAGCUGAGGAAGUUUUUGCUCAGCUUCCCAAUCCCUGCCAAGUACCACUACCUGAUGCAUAUCGAUAGCAAGCUCUACGCGUUGAUCAUCAGGGACAGCCCGAUGGCCAGAUGCUUCACAUCAUGGAGGACGACAAGGGAGAGGUGGUGAGAGUUAUCAUCGAAGUGGAGGGUCCGUCUGAUGCCAUUCAUCGCUGUCUUUGACCUCGUGAAGGCGUCUUAGCCACUUCAAUUUGAUUGGAAAUAUUGUUGUUUUAAGAUACGGGUCCAUGGUUAAUGUUGUACGCUUCUCUGAGAAGACCUGUCAUUCCAAUAAUUUGGUUCUGGAGCAA